RNAcentral lists this ribosomal RNA (492 nucleotides) under uncultured bacterium. Its description in RNAcentral is "partial 16S ribosomal RNA". It matches the Rfam family "Bacterial small subunit ribosomal RNA", at positions 30 to 507 of the family's 1533-position model. The record is from RNAcentral.
AUUGAACGCUGGCGGCAUGCUUUACACAUGCAAGUCGAACGGUAACAGGCCUUCGGGUGCUGACGAGUGGCGAACGGGUGCGUAAUGCAUCGGAACGUACCCAGAGUUGGGGGAUAACGCAGCGAAAGCUGUGCUAAUACCGCAUGUGAUCUGAGGAUGAAAGCGGGGGACCGAGCAGCAAUGUUUGGCCUCGCGCCUUUGGAGCGGCCGAUGUCGGAUUAGCUAGUUGGUGGGGUAAAGGCCUACCAAGGCGACGAUCCGUAGCUGGUCUGAGAGGACGACCAGCCACACUGGGACUGAGACACGGCCCAGACUCCUACGGGAGGCAGCAGUGGGGAAUUUUGGACAAUGGGCGCAAGCCUGAUCCAGCAAUGCCGCGUGCGGGAAGAAGGCCUUCGGGUUGUAAACCGCUUUUGGCAGGAACGAAACGGUGUCCGCUAAUACCGGGCGCUAAUGACGGUACCUGCAGAAUAAGCACCGGCUAACUACGUG